CAGUCGCCGCGGGAAUACGAGGGGAGCUAGCGUUGUUCGGAAUUACUGGGCGUAAAGCGCGCGUAGGCGGCUUUUUAAGUCAGAGGUGAAAGCCCGGGGCUCAACCCCGGAAUUGCCUUUGAAACUGGAAAGCUAGAAUCUUGGAGAGGUCAGUGGAAUUCCGAGUGUAGAGGUGAAAUUCGUAGAUAUUCGGAAGAACACCAGUGGCGAAGGCGACUGACUGGACAGGUAUUGACGCUGAGGUGCGAAAGCGUGGGGAGCAAACAGGAUUAGAUACCCCAGUAGUCCCUGUCUCUUAUAC
Molecule: ribosomal RNA, 301 nt
Filed under: uncultured bacterium
Lineage: Bacteria
Description: partial 16S ribosomal RNA
Rfam family: Bacterial small subunit ribosomal RNA
Source: RNAcentral